Anguilla anguilla (European eel) is the source of this 139-nucleotide long non-coding RNA. RefSeq lists it as uncharacterized. The transcript has 2 exons. NCBI's taxonomy places the organism in Eukaryota, Metazoa, Chordata, Actinopteri, Anguilliformes, Anguillidae. The record is from RefSeq and is a predicted model, not a curated record.
UAAGGUGUGGAGCAGAAUGGACUCACAGGAAACUAUCCUUGUAUCAUGGGGGGGGGGGGUUGACUAUCAGGAUGUGAGUGUACAGACUAUGGGAGGCAGUGCUGGGAUGGCCACUGUAUCACAUGAUGAAAAGACAAAA